Molecule: ribosomal RNA, 301 nt
Filed under: uncultured bacterium
Lineage: Bacteria
Description: partial 16S ribosomal RNA
Rfam family: Bacterial small subunit ribosomal RNA
Source: RNAcentral
CAGUAGCCGCGGGAAUACGAAGGGUGCAAGCGUUACUCGGAAUUACUGGGCGUAAAGCGCACGCAGGCGGUCUGACAAGUCAGAUGUGAAAUCCCCGGGCUUAACCUGGGAACUGCAUUUGAAACUGGCAGGCUAGAGUCUUGUAGAGGGGGGUAGAAUACCAGGUGUAGCGGUGAAAUGCGUAGAGAUCUGGAGGAAUACCGGUGGCGAAGGCGGCCCCCUGGACAAAGACUGACGCUCAGGUGCGAAAGCGUGGGGAGCAAACAGGAUUAGAUACCCGGGUAGUCCCUGUCUCUUAUAA